UGCAGGCCUAAUUAAGUCAACUCUACAUUGCAAUUGAGUUCCAAUUAUGCUAAGGGCCAAAGCUAAGUAUAUAUUAAUUAAGACCUCUCGUACUCAGAACUUACCUGAAAAUCUUGUACCCCAACAGUAGAAUAAUAGUUUUAGAUUGAGGCAGUAACAUGUAUGAUUAAGUUCUCACCUCUCUGCAAAAUACGUACAGUUUAGGAAAUUCUUGCAAUGAAUCUAGAUGGGAAUUCUGAAUUUCCACAAUCAUCAUACCCUCGGUGCAAAUAAACUAUCAGAUCGAAAAUAGGGAGCGGAAUCUUCAAAACAAUAACAAA
RNAcentral lists this long non-coding RNA (320 nucleotides) under Prunus persica (peach). Its description in RNAcentral is "long non-coding RNA (PPER_LNC002921)". The record is from RNAcentral. Lineage: Eukaryota; Viridiplantae; Streptophyta; Magnoliopsida; Rosales; Rosaceae.